Molecule: long non-coding RNA, 562 nt
Filed under: Homo sapiens (human)
Lineage: Eukaryota; Metazoa; Chordata; Mammalia; Primates; Hominidae
Description: HSALNT0060010
Source: RNAcentral
GGGGCUGGGAGUGCAUGGGCCAGAAUGGGGAAGGGAGUGCAAGGGCUGGAGUGGGGAAGAGAGUCCAUAGUCCAGAGUGGGGAAGGGAGUGCACAGGCCGGAGUGGGACUGGGAGUGCAUGAGCUGCAGUGGGGAGGGAGUACAUGGGCCGGAGUGGGGAAGAGGGUACACGGGCUGGAGUAGGGAAGGAAGUCCAGAGUGGGGAGUGGGGAAGGGAGUGCACAGGCCAGAGUGGGGCUGGGAGUGCAUGGGCCAGAGUAGGGAAGGGAGUGCACAGGCUGGAGUGGGGCUGGGAGUCCACAGGCCGGAGUGGGGAAGGGAAUGCACGGGCCGGAGUGGUGAGGGGAGUCCAUGGGCCGGAGUGGGGAAGGGAGUGCACAGGCAGAGUGGGGCUGGGGGCAGCCCAGGGCCUGCCUGACUCUUCCUCAGAGCCCGUGGCUGGCACUGCCUGGGGCAGCAGGGGCUGAGUGCCCCCUCAGCAGGACCAGCGAGCCCUCAGGAAGGCAUGAGAACAUGUGCUCCUGGAAGCCACAGAAACAUCCAGGAGAUGGAGACCUUUGCA